GCCCCGCCCACUCUUUGACUGGAAUGAGAGCGAGUGCAUGAAUUUGUUUGUGCCAUUUCUUUGGUUCUUUUCUCCCAAAUCCUGGGGGACAAUCAUCGUUGCAACAUGGUUUGGUUUCUGAUUCUCAUCUGGUUUGUCCAAGUGGGCAGUGUUCCCAUCGUCAAUUUCCCAAAUUCUACUACUUCAAAUUCUACUUUCCCUGCCACAGUGGACAACUCUACAAACCCCAUCAACAAUUAUACAAAUGUGACUUUCUCUGCCACAGUUUCAUGUGUGUAUCAAGAACGGUCCUCCACCCAAAGGACAUUCAGCCAACUUGACACAACUGUGGGGAGCAUUGGAGUCAACCUGGG
This 353-nucleotide long non-coding RNA is filed under the name Salmo salar (Atlantic salmon). RNAcentral's name for it is "lncRNA (ENSSSAG00000110870.1, ENSSSAG00020081528.1)". Lineage: Eukaryota; Metazoa; Chordata; Actinopteri; Salmoniformes; Salmonidae. The record is from RNAcentral.